UAUUCACGUAAUCUAAUUAUGCC
Molecule: non-coding RNA, 23 nt
Filed under: Arabidopsis thaliana (thale cress)
Lineage: Eukaryota; Viridiplantae; Streptophyta; Magnoliopsida; Brassicales; Brassicaceae
Source: RNAcentral